AUUGAACGCUGGCGGCAGGCCUAACACAUGCAAGUCGAGCGGAUGAAGGGAGCUUGCUCCUGGUUUCAGCGGCGGACGGGUGGGUAAUGCCUAGGAAUCUGCCUGGCAGUGGGGGAUAACGUCCGGAAACGGGCGCUAAUACGGCAUACGUCCUGAGGGAGAAAGGGGGGGAUCUUCGGACCUCACGCUAUCGGAUGAGCCGAGGUCGGAUUAGCUAGUUGGUGGGGUAAAGGCCUACCAAGGCGACGAUCCGUAACUGGUCUGAGAGGAUGAUCAGUCACACUGGAACUGAGACACGGUCCAGACUCCUACGGGAGGCAGCAGUGGGGAAUAUUGGACAAUGGGCGAAAGCCUGAUCCAGCCAUGCCGCGUGUGUGAAGAAGGUCUUCGGAUUGUAAAGCACUUUAAGUUGGGAGGAAGGGCAGUAAGUUAAUACCUUGCUGUUUUGACGUUACCAACAGAAUAAGCACCGGCUAACUUCGUG
This 484-nucleotide ribosomal RNA is filed under the name uncultured bacterium. RNAcentral's name for it is "partial 16S ribosomal RNA". It matches the Rfam family "Bacterial small subunit ribosomal RNA", at positions 30 to 507 of the family's 1533-position model. The record is from RNAcentral.